GCUUAGAGAGGGGUCAAUGUCCUAUCAGCUAGUUGGUAGGGUAAUGGCCUACCAAGGCUAAGACGGGUAGCCAGCCUGAGAGGGUGGUCGGCCACACUGGGACUGAGACACUGCCCAGACUCCUACGGGAGGCUGCAGUCGAGAAUCUUUCGCAAUGCCCGAAAGGGUGACGAAGCGACGCCGCGUGUGGGAAGAAGGCCUUCGGGUUGUAAACCACUGUCGGGAGUUAAGAAAUGUAAGGGUGUUAAUAGCAUCCUUACUUGACUAAGGCUCCGGAGGAAGCCACGGCUAACUCUGUGCCAGCAGCCGCGGUAAUACAGAGGCGGCAAGCGUUGUUCGGAAUUAUUGGGCGUAAAGAGCACGUAGGCGGCCUUGUAAGUCAGUUGUGAAAGCCUUCUGCUCAACGGAAGAACAGCAUCUGAUACUGCAAGGCUAGAGUGCGGAAGGG
Molecule: ribosomal RNA, 448 nt
Filed under: uncultured Planctomycetota bacterium
Lineage: Bacteria; Pseudomonadati; Planctomycetota
Description: bacterial SSU rRNA
Rfam family: Bacterial small subunit ribosomal RNA
Source: RNAcentral